This 2893-nucleotide ribosomal RNA is filed under the name Shigella sonnei. Its description in RNAcentral is "bacterial LSU rRNA". It matches the Rfam family "Bacterial large subunit ribosomal RNA". The record is from RNAcentral. Lineage: Bacteria; Pseudomonadati; Pseudomonadota; Gammaproteobacteria; Enterobacterales; Enterobacteriaceae.
ACUAAGCGUACACGGUGGAUGCCCUGGCAGUCAGAGGCGAUGAAGGACGUGCUAAUCUGCGAUAAGCGUCGGUAAGGUGAUAUGAACCGUUAUAACCGGCGAUUUCCGAAUGGGGAAACCCAGUGUGUUUCGACACACUAUCAUUAACUGAAUCCAUAGGUUAAUGAGGCGAACCGGGGGAACUGAAACAUCUAAGUACCCCGAGGAAAAGAAAUCAACCGAGAUUCCCCCAGUAGCGGCGAGCGAACGGGGAGGAGCCCAGAGCCUGAAUCAGUGUGUGUGUUAGUGGAAGCGUCUGGAAAGGCGCGCGAUACAGGGUGACAGCCCCGUACACAAAAAUACACAUAUUGUGAGCUCGAUGAGUAGGGCGGGACACGUGGUAUCCUGUCUGAAUAUGGGGGGACCAUCCUCCAAGGCUAAAUACUCCUGACUGACCGAUAGUGAACCAGUACCGUGAGGGAAAGGCGAAAAGAACCCCGGCGAGGGGAGUGAAAAAGAACCUGAAACCGUGUACGUACAAGCAGUGGGAGCACGCUUAGGCGUGUGACUGCGUACCUUUUGUAUAAUGGGUCAGCGACUUAUAUUCUGUAGCAAGGUUAACCGAAUAGGGGAGCCGAAGGGAAACCGAGUCUUAACUGGGCGUUAAGUUGCAGGGUAUAGACCCGAAACCCGGUGAUCUAGCCAUGGGCAGGUUGAAGGUUGGGUAACACUAACUGGAGGACCGAACCGACUAAUGUUGAAAAAUUAGCGGAUGACUUGUGGCUGGGGGUGAAAGGCCAAUCAAACCGGGAGAUAGCUGGUUCUCCCCGAAAGCUAUUUAGGUAGCGCCUCGUGAAUUCAUCUCCGGGGGUAGAGCACUGUUUCGGCAAGGGGGUCAUCCCGACUUACCAACCCGAUGCAAACUGCGAAUACCGGAGAAUGUUAUCACGGGAGACACACGGCGGGUGCUAACGUCCGUCGUGAAGAGGGAAACAACCCAGACCGCCAGCUAAGGUCCCAAAGUCAUGGUUAAGUGGGAAACGAUGUGGGAAGGCCCAGACAGCCAGGAUGUUGGCUUAGAAGCAGCCAUCAUUUAAAGAAAGCGUAAUAGCUCACUGGUCGAGUCGGCCUGCGCGGAAGAUGUAACGGGGCUAAACCAUGCACCGAAGCUGCGGCAGCGACGCUUAUGCGUUGUUGGGUAGGGGAGCGUUCUGUAAGCCUGCGAAGGUGUGCUGUGAGGCAUGCUGGAGGUAUCAGAAGUGCGAAUGCUGACAUAAGUAACGAUAAAGCGGGUGAAAAGCCCGCUCGCCGGAAGACCAAGGGUUCCUGUCCAACGUUAAUCGGGGCAGGGUGAGUCGACCCCUAAGACGAGGCCGAAAGGCGUAGUCGAUGGGAAACAGGUUAAUAUUCCUGUACUUGGUGUUACUGCGAAGGGGGGACGGAGAAGGCUAUGUUGGCCGGGCGACGGUUGUCCCGGUUUAAGCGUGUAGGCUGGUUUUCCAGGCAAAUCCGGAAAAUCAAGGCUGAGGCGUGAUGACGAGGCACUACGGUGCUGAAGCAACAAAUGCCCUGCUUCCAGGAAAAGCCUCUAAGCAUCAGGUAACAUCAAAUCGUACCCCAAACCGACACAGGUGGUCAGGUAGAGAAUACCAAGGCGCUUGAGAGAACUCGGGUGAAGGAACUAGGCAAAAUGGUGCCGUAACUUCGGGAGAAGGCACGCUGAUAUGUAGGUGAAGUCCCUUGCGGAUGGAGCUGAAAUCAGUCGAAGAUACCAGCUGGCUGCAACUGUUUAUUAAAAACACAGCACUGUGCAAACACGAAAGUGGACGUAUACGGUGUGACGCCUGCCCGGUGCCGGAAGGUUAAUUGAUGGGGUCAGCGCAAGCGAAGCUCUUGAUCGAAGCCCCGGUAAACGGCGGCCGUAACUAUAACGGUCCUAAGGUAGCGAAAUUCCUUGUCGGGUAAGUUCCGACCUGCACGAAUGGCGUAAUGAUGGCCAGGCUGUCUCCACCCGAGACUCAGUGAAAUUGAACUCGCUGUGAAGAUGCAGUGUACCCGCGGCAAGACGGAAAGACCCCGUGAACCUUUACUAUAGCUUGACACUGAACAUUGAGCCUUGAUGUGUAGGAUAGGUGGGAGGCUUUGAAGUGUGGACGCCAGUCUGCAUGGAGCCGGCCUUGAAAUACCACCCUUUAAUGUUUGAUGUUCUAACGUGGACCCGUGAUCCGGGUUGCGGACAGUGUCUGGUGGGUAGUUUGACUGGGGCGGUCUCCUCCUAAAGAGUAACGGAGGAGCACGAAGGUUGGCUAAUCCUGGUCGGACAUCAGGAGGUUAGUGCAAUGGCAUAAGCCAGCUUGACUGCGAGCGUGACGGCGCGAGCAGGUGCGAAAGCAGGUCAUAGUGAUCCGGUGGUUCUGAAUGGAAGGGCCAUCGCUCAACGGAUAAAAGGUACUCCGGGGAUAACAGGCUGAUACCGCCCAAGAGUUCAUAUCGACGGCGGUGUUUGGCACCUCGAUGUCGGCUCAUCACAUCCUGGGGCUGAAGUAGGUCCCAAGGGUAUGGCUGUUCGCCAUUUAAAGUGGUACGCGAGCUGGGUUUAGAACGUCGUGAGACAGUUCGGUCCCUAUCUGCCGUGGGCGCUGGAGAACUGAGGGGGGCUGCUCCUAGUACGAGAGGACCGGAGUGGACGCAUCACUGGUGUUCGGGUUGUCAUGCCAAUGGCACUGCCCGGUAGCUAAAUGCGGAAGAGAUAAGUGCUGAAAGCAUCUAAGCACGAAACUUGCCCCGAGAUGAGUUCUCCCUGACCCUUUAAGGGUCCUGAAGGAACGUUGAAGACGACGACGUUGAUAGGCCGGGUGUGUAAGCGCAGCGAUGCGUUGAGCUAACCGGUACUAAUGAACCGUGAGGCUUAACC